UACGUAGGGUGCGAGCGUUAAUCGGAAUUAUUGGGCGUAAAGCGCGCGUAGGCGGCUUUGCAAGUCGGGUGUGAAAGCCCUCAGCUUAACUGAGGAAGUGCGCCCGAAACUGCAUGGCUUGAGUGUCGGAGAGGAUGGCGGAAUACCCCAAGUAGAGGUGAAAUUCGUAGAUAUGGGGUGGAACACCGGUGGCGAAGGCGGCCAUCUGGACGAUAACUGACGCUGAGGCGCGAAAGCGUGGGUAGCAAACAGG
This 253-nucleotide ribosomal RNA is filed under the name uncultured bacterium. RNAcentral describes it as "partial 16S ribosomal RNA". It matches the Rfam family "Bacterial small subunit ribosomal RNA", at positions 524 to 776 of the family's 1533-position model. The record is from RNAcentral.